AACUUGUCAUUAUACUAAAUAUCCUUUGACCAGUAGCUGGCCACUUGGAGUGCCUUUGGUGUCGCUGUAAGAAGGUUCUCCAUUGUGCACGUGGGAGGGCUUAGCCUACAUUGUAGUAAGUGGUCUGUGGUUUGCUCUUCUUUACACUCACAUGUUGUGGAAUCCACUUUGUAGCCCCAUUUCUUAAGAAUAGCUCUGCAUCUCGUGGUGCAGUCAUACCAUCCACAUGACCUUGGAGGUGUCUAUGGACAACGCCGGCUCUUCGGCUUAAAAAAUGAGAUGGGCACCAACCCACAGAAUCGGACACAACUAGACUUAAUAUCAGGGGAAACCUUUACCUUUACUCUAUCAUAUGGCAGUUUUAUUCAAGUUCAAUCAUUGGACAGCCGCUGUUUCAGGCAAAAUUUGCUGACCUAUAACCUUACAAAAUAUGACUUUUAAUUUGUAUUUUUGUGCCUUCCCCAUCCAAAUCCACCUAGCUCUCAAAGUAUUCUUACUCAUUUUCUAUCAUUUCCUCUCUCUUUUCCCUUUCACCCUUUUAUCCUGUAUCCAGCUGCCAGUUUCUUUCAUCCCUUCCUGUGUUUACUUUUAUAUAGCCCUUCCAUAUUUGUGGAUAUUAUUAAAGGUUUGAAGUAUUUGCCAUCACGUCCACUGCUGCCCUAUGUGCAUUUUUACUUCCUUCAAUGUGGUCAACGUCCAUUGGAAGUAGGCAGCAAAAUCUUGCUGGAGAACCUACAAUUGCCUGGAGAUGUUUUGUCUCAGAUAAAAAAUAGGGCAUCCUUUUUUCUUUUUCUUUUGCAGGGGUCCUGCUAUCCUACAAAUGUAAUUACUUCCUAUUUUAUUCACUUCCUCCUUGCAAAACAUUUCCUCUCUUGUUGUACAUUUCCUCUUUUAUCCCAGUUUGCUCUCCCCACCUCUUUCAUUCAAUCUUACAGGCUUCUUUUCUUCUUCCCUUCCUGACAAGGCUUUCAGUGGAGGAAGAACGGCAUGAAGUUGGGUGAGGUGGUCACCUCCAUAGGACUGCAAUGCCUAGUUGGCUAUGAAAAGCUCCUGGAGUUGGUUGAUCUCCAGAACUGGCAGUGAGGAAUAUCACCAGCAUGCUGUCACCUCAUCACAUCAGAAAACCUGUGGUGCUGCUAUGCACAGAAACAUGGCAUAAUGGGAUCUCUCCUAUUAGGAAACAGACCCCAAACUAUCCAAAAUGAUGCAAAAAGGGAACUGGCAGAAGAGAAGAGUUUUCGGAUC
Anolis carolinensis (green anole) is the source of this 1245-nucleotide long non-coding RNA. RefSeq lists it as uncharacterized. NCBI's taxonomy places the organism in Eukaryota, Metazoa, Chordata, Lepidosauria, Squamata, Anolidae. The record is from RefSeq and is a predicted model, not a curated record. The transcript has 3 exons.